Molecule: ribosomal RNA, 868 nt
Filed under: uncultured archaeon
Lineage: Archaea
Description: bacterial SSU rRNA
Rfam family: Archaeal small subunit ribosomal RNA
Source: RNAcentral
UUCCGGUUGAUCCCGCCGGACCCGACUGCUAUCAGAGUGGGACUAAGCCAUGCGAGUCGACGUAGCAAUGCGUGGCGAACGGCUCAGUAACACGUAGUCAACAUGCCCAGGGGACGUGGAUAACCUCGGGAAACUGAGAAUAAACCACGAUAGGUCACGAUUUCUGGAAUGGAUCAUGGCCUAAAUCUACAUGGCCCCUGGAUUGGACUGCGGCCGAUCAGGCUGUUGGUGAGGUAAUGGCCCACCAAACCUAUAACCGGUACGGGCUCUGAGAGGAGAAGCCCGGAGAUGGGCACUGAGACAAGGGCCCAGGCCCUAUGGGGCGCAGCAGGCGCGAAACCUCUGCAAUAGGCGAAAGCCUGACAGGGUUACUCUGAGUGAUUUCCGCUAAGGGGAUCUUUUGGCACCUCUAAAAAUGGUGCAGAAUAAGGGGUGGGCAAGUCUGGUGUCAGCCGCCGCGGUAAUACCAGCACCCCGAGUGGUCGGGACGAUUAUUGGGCCUAAAGCAUCCGUAGCCGGUUCUGCAAGUCUUCCGUUAAAUCCAGCCGCUCAACGGAUGGGCCGCGGAGGAUACUACAGGACUAGGAGGCGGGAGAGGCAAGCGGUACUCAGUGGGUAGGGGUAAAAUCCUUUGAUCCAUUGAAGACCACCAGUGGCGAAGGCGGCUUGCCAGAACGCGCUCGACGGUGAGGGAUGAAAGCUGGGGGAGCAAACCGGAUUAGAUACCCGGGUAGUCCCAGCUGUAAACGAUGCAGAUUCGGUGAUGGGCUAGCCUUGUGCCAGCCCAGUGCCGCAGGGAAGCCGUUAAGUCUGCCGCCUGGGGAGUACGGUCGCAAGACUGAAACUUAAAGGAAUUGGCGGGGGAGCA